GAUGAACGCUGGCGGCGUGCUUAACACAUGCAAGUCGAACGAAGCAUUUGCGACAGAUUUUUUCGGAAUGAAGUUGCUUAUGACUGAGUGGCGGACGGGUGAGUAAAGCGUGGGUAACCUGCCUUGUACUGGGGGAUAGCAGCUGGAAACGGCUGGUAAUACCGCAUAAGCGCACAAUGUUGCAUGACAUGGUGUGAAAAGCUCCGGUGGUAUAAGAUGGACCCGCGUAUGAUUAGCUAGUUGGUGAGAUAACAGCCCACCAAGGCGACGAUCAGUAGCCGACCUGAGAGGGUGACCGGCCACAUUGGGACUGAGACACGGCCCAGACUCCUACGGGAGGCAGCAGUGGGGAAUAUUGCACAAUGGAGGAAACUCUGAUGCAGCGACGCCGCGUGAGUGAAGAAGUAAUUCGUUAUGUAAAGCUCUAUCAGCAGGGAAGAUAGUGACGGUACCUGACUAAGAAGCUCCGGCUAAAUACGUG
This 481-nucleotide ribosomal RNA is filed under the name uncultured bacterium. Its description in RNAcentral is "partial 16S ribosomal RNA". It matches the Rfam family "Bacterial small subunit ribosomal RNA", at positions 28 to 507 of the family's 1533-position model. The record is from RNAcentral.